This 442-nucleotide ribosomal RNA is filed under the name uncultured bacterium. Its description in RNAcentral is "partial 16S ribosomal RNA". It matches the Rfam family "Bacterial small subunit ribosomal RNA", at positions 338 to 795 of the family's 1533-position model. The record is from RNAcentral.
CCUACGGGUGGCAGCAGUAGGGAAUCUUUCACAAUGGGCGAAAGCCUGAUGGAGCAACGCCGCGUGCAGGAUGAAGGCCUUCGGGUUGUAAACUGCUUUUAUAAGCGAGAAAUAUGAUGGUAACUUAUGAAUAAGGAUCGGCUAACUACGUGCCAGCAGCCGCGGUCAUACGUAGGAUCCGAGCAUUAUCCGGAGUGACUGGGCGUAAAGAGUUGCGUAGGUGGGAUAAUAAGUAGCUAGGGAAAUCUGGUGGCUCAACCAUUCAGACGAUUAGCUAAACUGUUAAGCUCGAGACCGUUAGGGGUAACUGGAAUGUCUAGUGUAGGAGUGAAAUCCGUAGAUAUUAGAAAGAACACCAAUAGCGUAGGCAGGUUGCUGGGACGGUUCUGACACUAAGGCACGAAAGCGUAGGGAGCAAACGGGAUUAGAUACCCGAGUAGUC